AUUGAACGCUGGCGGCAUGCUUUACACAUGCAAGUCGAACGGUAACAGGGUGCUUGCACCGCUGACGAGUGGCGAACGGGUGAGUAAUGCGUCGGAACGUGCCGAGUAGUGGGGGAUAACGCAGCGAAAGUUGUGCUAAUACCGCAUACGUACUGAGGUAGAAAGUGGGGGACCUUCGGGCCUCACGCUAUUCGAGCGGCCGACGUCUGAUUAGCUAGUAGGUGAGGUAAAGGCUCACCUAGGCGACGAUCAGUAGCGGGUCUGAGAGGAUGAUCCGCCACACUGGGACUGAGACACGGCCCAGACUCCUACGGGAGGCAGCAGUGGGGAAUUUUGGACAAUGGGCGAAAGCCUGAUCCAGCCAUGCCGCGUGUCUGAAGAAGGCCUUCGGGUUGUAAAGGACUUUGUCAGGGAGGAAAUCCCUAGUGCUAAUAACACUGGGGGAUGACAGUACCUGAAGAAUAAGCACCGGCUAACUACGUGCCAGCCGCCACAGUAA
RNAcentral lists this ribosomal RNA (499 nucleotides) under uncultured bacterium. Its description in RNAcentral is "partial 16S ribosomal RNA". It matches the Rfam family "Bacterial small subunit ribosomal RNA", at positions 30 to 523 of the family's 1533-position model. The record is from RNAcentral.